GUGGCGAAAGCGGCUCUUUGGUCUGUAACUGACGCUGAGGCUCGAAAGCGUGGGGAGCGAACAGGAUUAGAUACCCUGGUAGUCCACGCCGUAAACGAUGAGUGUUAGGUGUUAGGUCCUUUCCGGGACUUAGUGCCGCAGCUAACGCAUUAAGCACUCCGCCUGGGGAGUACGACCGCAAGGUUGAAACUCAAAGGAAUUGACGGGGGCCCGCACAAGCGGUGGAGCAUGUGGUUUAAUUCGAAGCAACGCGAAGAACCUUACCAGGUCUUGACAUCCCGAUGCUAUUUCUAGAGAUAGGAAGUUUCUUCGGAACAUCGGUGACAGGUGGUGCAUGGUUGUCGUCAGCUCGUGUCGUGAGAUGUUGGGUUAGGUCCCGCAACGAGCGCAACCCUUAUUGUUAGUUGCCAUCAUUGAGUUGGGCACUCUAGCGAGACUGCCGGUAAUAAACCGGAGGAAGGUGGGGAUGACGUCAAAUCAUCAUGCCCCUUAUGACCUGGGCUACACACGUGCUACAAUGGCUGGUACAACGAGUCGCAAGCCGGUGACGGCAAGCUAAUCUCUGAAAGCCAGUCUCAGUUCGGAUUGUAGGCUGCAACUCGCCUACAUGAAGUCGGAAUCGCUAGUAAUCGCGGAUCAGCACGCCGCGGUGAAUACGUUCCCGGGCCUUGUACACACCGCCCGUCACACCACGAGAGUUUGUAACACCCGAAGUCGGUGAGGUAACCGUAAGGAGCCAGCCGCCUAAGGUGGGAUAGAU
This 760-nucleotide ribosomal RNA is filed under the name uncultured organism. RNAcentral describes it as "SSU rRNA". It matches the Rfam family "Bacterial small subunit ribosomal RNA", at positions 712 to 1472 of the family's 1533-position model. The record is from RNAcentral.